GAUGAACGCUGGCGGCGCGCCUAACACAUGCAAGUCGAACGAUUAAAGCACCUUCGGGUGUGUAUAAAGUGGCGAACGGCUGAGUAACACGUGGGCAACCUGCCCCUUUCAUUGGGAUAGCCACGGGAAACCGUGGAUAAUACCGAAUACUUCGAGACUUCCGCAUGGAAGACUCGAGAAAGCUCCGGCGGAGAGGGAUGGGCCCGCGGCCUGUUAGCUUGUUGGUGGGGUAACGGCCUACCAAGGCAAGGAUGGGUAGCUGGGUUGAGAGACCGACCAGCCAGAUUGGGACUGAGACACGGCCCAGACUCCUACGGGAGGCAGCAGUGGGGAAUCUUGCACAAUGGGCGAAAGCCUGAUGCAGCGACGCCGCGUGCGGGAUGAAGGCCUUCGGGUUGUAAACCGCUUUCAGCAGGGACGAGGCGAAAGUGACGGUACCUGCAGAAGAAGCCCCGGCUAACUACGUG
RNAcentral lists this ribosomal RNA (467 nucleotides) under uncultured bacterium. RNAcentral's name for it is "partial 16S ribosomal RNA". It matches the Rfam family "Bacterial small subunit ribosomal RNA", at positions 28 to 507 of the family's 1533-position model. The record is from RNAcentral.